AUGUAUACGAAUUUUGUACCACCUGCUCUACCAGAACGCUAAAAACCAAUACGCAGGUUAAUGAUUUCCCUGGUGUUGGCGCAAUAUUCGCGCACCCCGGCCUCGGC
Small RNA from Serratia fonticola, 107 nucleotides. It matches the Rfam family "ArcZ RNA". Rfam says of the family: This RNA was discovered in E. coli during a large scale screen. SraH expression is highly abundant in stationary phase, but low levels could be detected in exponentially growing cells as well. Lineage: Bacteria; Pseudomonadati; Pseudomonadota; Gammaproteobacteria; Enterobacterales; Yersiniaceae. The record is from Rfam.